AUAACAACUAAACUCCGUUUAUUCUGCUAACAACUCAUCACUCGAACAACAACAGGGGCACGUGUUUACAAUUGAGGGUAUUGCUAAAUCCCCCUCUAAGACCUAAAUGUCUUAUGGUAACGCAAGAAUGUUCUAGAACUGUCACGCAAGGAAUGUUGGGAGCACCCCAAUCAAAACUACCAAAUGCAAAAGUGCUGUAUUUGUGUACAUAAUUUUUUAUUUAGGACCCUUAAUUGCAGAUUACAUAAUCUUCUAAACAAGGUUAAAUUUAGUGAAUUGAAGGUAUUAGUUUGGGUUUGAUUAAGUGCUUUUUUUUUCCUUUAGGGGAAUUGGAAAGAAAGGAAAGGCAGCAUUCCGGGAAACCUUUAGUCGCAUUUCUGAGUUGCGUUCAUUAUUGAAAAGUUGCACGCCAGUGUUGGGGUUAACGGCAACUGCAAACAGAGAAAUGCGUGACUGCUUAAUGAAGUACCUUGGCAUGAAUAGCAACCUAUUGCCAAUAGUUGUUAGUCCCAACAAGGACAACAUCCGUUUCACUGUGGUGAAAGCAAACAGCAAAUUACAUUGCUUUGAUUGGCUUUUACACAUUUUGAGAGAGAAAAAGGGCCAAACACCAUUCACAAUUAUUUUUUGUAAGACAGUGAAUGACAUUGUAUCUGUUCUGACAUUUUUUCUGAUGGAACUGGGACAAUCAGGAGUUUAUGUCGAGGGUGAAGGGUCCAUUGAUGAGAGAUGUCUUCUUGGAGUUUAUUACUCCCAGACACCCCUAAGUCACAAGGAUUGCAUUACAAAGUCUUCUGAGGGGUUGUCUGGACAUGUAAGGGUGGUAUUUGCAUCUACAUCACUAAGUAUGGGAGUGGACUUCCCUCAUGUUAAAUAUGUUGUACACUGUGGUCCUUCCAAAAACUUAACAAGCCAUCUACAAGAAGCAGGACGUGCAGGAAGGGAUGGACCCGAGGCUUAUCAUGUCACUAUUUAUCAAGGAUGGCAUCUAAUUACAUAUGAGUCUGACAUAAAAGCUGCUGUACGGAAGUCACUGACAUCAUGUUGCCGCAUUGCCUUCCUUGAAAGCUUUGAUAAUGAAGUUUGUUCGAUAUCGCCAAUGCAUGAUGGCUGUAAUGUGUGCCAUAAAAGCUGCAAAUGCGAGGAUUCUGGAUGCAGUAAACCCAUUCCAAACUUUGAUUGUGUACCUACUAGUGAAUGUGAUCAAGAAAAAUCAAGGGACUUUUCAGAGGAUGAGAGAGCAUGCCUUAAGGAAGCACUAAAUGAAGUUCAAAGGUCGUUGUCUUCACAAUCAAAGAUAAGGAUGUUUGACAGCACUGGAAUUGUUGGACAUGGACUAUCUGAUGAUUUAAUUGACACAAUUGUGAGCAAUGUCCACGACAUUUAUACUGUGUAUGAUGUAAUUGAUUACUGCAAUGCUCCUUCCUUAAACAAGGACCCGCACCAUAAAAGGCAUAGCUCCUCCCCCUCUUUGUCACGCAAUCUUUGUUCAUAGUCCUAAUCAAAGAUGGCGGACUCAGUGAGGAAGAUGCGGUAAACCCACUCUGCAAUGGAACAAAUAAAAACCUACACAUUAAGAACUUAAUGCGAGUGUAGAACCACCCAAAUUGUGAAUUUAAGUCAGAAAUGUACUAAAAUCCUGAUCCUUCUAACGCUAAUUGAAGAAUUUAGCGAAGGAAAUUUGAAUUUCCCGCCUGUAACCGUCCCUGUCAAUCCCUGAACAUACGCACCCGCUCACAGACUCCUCGUAGACGAUUCGUUGCUUUGUUGAGCCUUCAAUAUGCCUAUGUCAUCGUCUAUGCAAUAUUUGGCAUGCUUAAAAAAAGGGCAUGAUGUAAUAUAUGCGUUUUUGGGAAUGACGGUUCGGUUCAUGGCGGAAGCUGUCGUGCUUUGGUGCCACAACUUCCACUUUGAAUCGAGCUAGUUUGCACGCAUUGUCUUUGCUUCUUAGGCGCUCUUUUAUCUUAUCAACUAUUUUUCGGUGCAUUGGAUUUUUCAUGGCAGAAUCUUUCUCCAAGAAGCCCAAACUAAUGCCUCCUCGUGCACAACGGAUUACGUACAGCAUACAGCUUGAAGUUGAAGUGGGUAUGGAGGAGUGUUUAGAGGCAUUGAAAGCUAAAAUUCAAGGUGUUAAAAGUGCCUUACGUAUAACCAGUUGUACACCAAUGGGUAACCUUUUGAUGAUGGAACGAUAUCUGAGCUCAUUCAAAGAGUUUGAACGAAGUCAGAUGGUAAUCACAGCCAGUCAAUCUUUGUUUUUGUCAACGAUACAACAGCCUUCAGCACAACCUUCAUCACAACCUUCGCCACAACCUUUUCCUUCAUGUUCGAAAAAAAUAGAUGCACAAACGCAAACGGAUAUCUCUGAUCCGUAUAUUUUGGGUUACGGUGAAAAUACAACCGGAAAGUUCAAUAUCCACACCCAAAGUACGGAGAACAAAGACUAUUUUCUUUCAUCCAAUGAUGCGGUGCGAAACCUCAUAUCUACAAUGGCACAAUAUUGCGGAAGGUGUCCCUUAUGUGGCUAUCCUCUAGAGUUGCCAUCAUUCGAUGCGAUAAAGCAUGGACAUGUGGCGCUCGUCAGCGUGGGCUGCGUGGCCGGUCAUUCCUGUCGAUGGAAUUCCAGCAGUAUCAUCGGCGGAAAGUACACAGCCAAUUUGAGGUAAAAGGUUUUACAUGGAUUUAUCAGUUCUGGCCUUACCGAGACCCAGUAUGUCAGUGCUUGUAAGGCAGCUCACAUCGGAAAUGUGGACGAGAGAUACAUUACUACCGGUAUUACAAUUUCUCUGAAAUAAUAAUCCUCUCUGACAAUAGCAGUAUCGUUAUACUGUACUUGGUGUACUACACAAAAAUUCCAUAUACUCAUCAGUUAUCAUGCAAUUUCUAGAAAAAGUGUCAUAGAGUUUAUUUCUUUUCAUUGCCUUCUUCCUUGCCAUGCAGGAAACCAGUUAUGCAGCUUACUUUUCUCUUGUGAACAUACUUCAGUUGCUCUUUUUCUCUCUUUCCAGUAUACACUUCUUUAGGAUACAAGAAUGCUGUGAAAGCCUGGUAUGAGAUAAAAUUACAGGAAGCUAGGUCGGAAGCACAGCAGGUUGCUCAAUAUCUUCUCCAAGGGGAUGUAUGUUUCCGAGGCAUGAUGUAGCCUUUC
This is an unclassified non-coding RNA of Orbicella faveolata, 3148 nucleotides long. NCBI's taxonomy places the organism in Eukaryota, Metazoa, Cnidaria, Anthozoa, Scleractinia, Merulinidae. The record is from RefSeq and is a predicted model, not a curated record.